UGAGGAAUAUUGGUCAAUGGGCGAGAGUCUGAACCAACCAAGUAGCGUGCAGGAAGACGGCCCUAUGGGUUGUAAACUGCUUUUAUACGGAAAUAAAGUGAGGUACCGUGUCUCAUUAUUUGUACGGUACUAGUAUGAAUAAGGACCGGCUAAUUCCAGUG
This 161-nucleotide ribosomal RNA is filed under the name uncultured bacterium. RNAcentral's name for it is "partial 16S ribosomal RNA". It matches the Rfam family "Bacterial small subunit ribosomal RNA", at positions 355 to 507 of the family's 1533-position model. The record is from RNAcentral.